This 497-nucleotide ribosomal RNA is filed under the name uncultured bacterium. RNAcentral describes it as "partial 16S ribosomal RNA". It matches the Rfam family "Bacterial small subunit ribosomal RNA", at positions 28 to 507 of the family's 1533-position model. The record is from RNAcentral.
GAUGAACGCUGGCGGCGUGCCUAAUACAUGCAAGUCGAGCGAACAGACGAGGAGCUUGCUCCUCUGACGUUAGCGGCGGACGGGUGAGUAACACGUGGACAACCUACCUAUAAGACUGGGAUAACUUCGGGAAACCGGAGCUAAUACCGGAUAAUAUAUUGAACCGCAUGGUUCAAUAGUGAAAGACGGUUUUGCUGUCACUAAUAGAUGGAUCCGCGCCGCAUUAGCUAGUUGGUAAGGUAACGGCUUACCAAGGCAACGAUGCGUAGCCGACCUGAGAGGGAGGUCGGACACACUGGAACAGAGACACGGUCCAGACUCCUGCAGGAAGAAGCAGUAGGGAAUCUUCCGCAAUGGGCGAGAGCCUGACAGAGCAACGCGGCGUAAGUGAUGAAGGACUUAGGCUCGUAAAACUCUGUUAUUAGGAGAGAACAAAUGUGUAAGUAACUGUGCUCGUCUUGACGGUACCUGGACAAAAAGCCACGGCUAACUACGUG